RNAcentral lists this long non-coding RNA (4891 nucleotides) under Sus scrofa (pig). Its description in RNAcentral is "lncRNA (ENSSSCG00065030513.1)". The record is from RNAcentral. Lineage: Eukaryota; Metazoa; Chordata; Mammalia; Artiodactyla; Suidae.
GUUGACACUCUGGGUGGCAUAAGCUUCAUCACCUCCUGGACUUCUGUGAUCUUGAAUUAAGUCAUGUCCUUUGUAACGCUGAGUUUCCUCUUGUGUAAAAUGGGAGGAAGCUUUCCUUGAUGGGCUACCUUGGAGAUGGCAUGGAAUCUUGUACAUGAAAGCCCUCCUUUAUAAAGUCUAUGUAUAUAUCAGUCAGUAUUGCUAGUCCCCGAUCAUCUGCUUUAUUGUAAUUGGCCUUCCUUUCCCUGCUUCGUUUGUGGUUAUAUCUUUCCCUUUAUUAUGAACCACCAGAGUUGGAAAGAAUGGCAUCUAGAUUGCCUAUGGAGUCAGGAAACUUUUCUCUAGGUACAAAAAGCUCUGUUUUUGAGAUAGGUUACAGUGGUCAUUUGAUGGGUCAUUAAUAAUCUUUGGGCUUGGUGAAAUCGACAGAGAAGGCUAUAAGUCACUCCACAGGGUUGCAGUGGGACAGCUAGGCUCAUAGGACCUGAUGUAUGAACUACUCCAUGUGAUUAACUUUGACAGGUAACUUCAGGCCAGCUGGCAAGCUGAAGAGCAUUUUAAGUACAAAUAAUAGUUCUAGGUAUGCCGUGAGUGAUAGAAUAAUGGUUGUGUGGAACAGAGUCCUUUAAUCUUCCCCUGUGUAAAGAAAUCUGGUUUCCCUUUAAGGCCAGGAUAUCGCAACAAAAUCAUCUAACAAGAUAUCUCACAUCUUCAUUUUAUCAAGCCUAUAUCAAAUAGAGAACUGACCCCCAGGGCCAGGCUCAUUCAUCUCAGGCUGCAAAGGGCCUAGCAUGGUGCCUCACAGCAAUUUAGUAAUAACAACAAUAGUAUCAGUUAUGAUGAUGGAUACAAUUGCACCAUAUUCAUCCCAAUGGCUACAGAUUUACGAAGUACUCAGUCAUCCACUGAGAUAGGUCUUAUUGUCCCACUUAAUAGAUGAUGAAACUGAGGCUCAGAAUAGUGAAGCAAGUUCCCAGUUAUAUACACACCAAUGAGUGGAUGCCUGAUCUUAGAAUUCCUGGCCAGAGUUCUUUCUAAUAAACAUUUCUAAAGUUGAAUGGAGUAGGACAAAGAGUUUUCAGAUGACAUAAUCUCUCAAUGAGUAUUUUUUUUCUCAUUGGUUGAUUCUGGAGAUCCUCAACUUCCUGAGGAUGAGAGAGGCCCUUUAGGGAAGAUAUCAUAAUCUGUUUUCAGGGCCAUUUUGUAAUAAGAUGUGCUCUCUUCUUUUUCUUAAUGGUACUGCAAAUGUCAAAGCUAUUGAUGUGAUUUCACCUACUAUUGUCUUCUUUUGGUGGUCUGAAAUAAUUAAUCAUUAUUGCUCUUACCCUAAUGUGGUCUUCAAGAUCGAGAAAUGUUUCACUCUUGAGAACACAUUGAAAUCCAAUGAAAAACAUGGACAUCCUGGGCAGAGAGUCAUCCUAUAUUGAUGACUAUAAGCAGAUGCUAACCCUGCAUAAUGUUGUUGAGUUUGGCAUGGGGACCUAAGCAAAGGAAAUUAAACUCUGGAAAGAGUUUGCAAGCAUUAAAAAAUGGCACUUUCCUUUGCACAUCCACCAUGGCUUCAUGAGCUGCACCUCCUCUCCCUGCUUUGGCAAAGCAAAGCUCUACAAAGAAACUGGACACCAGGGACCUUAUUAUCUAUGUUAGCAUAAAAUUUGGUAACAUUGACCUCUUAGGGUUAGCAUGGAAAAUGCUAGCUUUUCACUCUAGGAGCUUAAUUCCUCUUUCCCUGGUUUUUGUCAUAUUUGCAAAUUUCAUUUGCAUCUUCCUUUCCCAUGGUUUUCCAAAGUCCAGACUGAGACUGGAGCUGUUGUUUCCAUUCAGGUGAAAAGUACAACCACAACUGACCAUCUGCACUGGCAUACAGUCAGGCGAUUGGCCAAGGAAACAAUUUGGAGAUUCCAAUCUGAUCCUCUCCCAUGUGAUCCCUUGUACCCAUUCUCUUUCUGUACCACACACAAUAAACUUGGAGAAUUGCCUUAAGGCCAAAAUUGCACAGCACUAUCAAAAGAGCUACCAGAGAAAUCUCAUUUCAAUGCACUUAGCUUUAGUUUCAUUAUGCAACACUUAUUUCCUGAGUUUAAGCAUAAACCCAAGAUGGUCACCAUUAUGGCAAUUUUUCCAUUACCUUAUUACUACCUGUUAGUAUUCAGAUAUUUAAAAAUAUACCAAAGACCAAUUUUUAAAUAUCCUUCUCAUGGCAGACACUUUGCCUAUGAGAAAUCUGAAACGCAUUUGAGUUUAUACUUCUGUCUAAUUUAAAUAUUUUAUUCUCUAUUGAAAUGUCAUCUGUAUUUAAAAAUCUUCCCCAGGAAUUCUGAUGCACAUCCAGGUUUAGGAACCUUUUAUUUUUAUCCUUUCUGAUAAUCAACACAUGCAAUAUGGCAUUGGUGUGAUGGUAAUAGUUAUAUAGCAGAGUGUUUUCCAGAAUAUUAAAGAGACUAAUUUACAAAAAUCAUUCAGGUGUGUAUCACACCAGCAGUAUUCACCAUGUUGCCAAGAAGUCAUCCUGAGCUGUCUGCUAGCACAGUGAGAAGCUAUUUCAAGGUCUCUUCUCAAGAGACUCCCAGGCUGGUAGUGCAAACUAAAUCAAGAUGAAGCUAAUUGCUGAGCUCUAUUACUGGAGCGGAAAAUAUUGCACCAUCUUUGUUUAAGACUGAAUCUCCAUGACAACGCCAGUUAAGAGGCUGGGCUAAUAUUCUUCCUUUCCUUACUUAUAGAGCCACAAGUCAUAGCCUUUUGUGGGCAAAAUGAGUUGAUACAUCCUUAGGCGACCAUUUCAAGCUCCUUGGAAGGGCAACUCUGAAUUUGUUUAUCCAGGAAAUCCUCAAAGGGAUUACUGUUUUCAAACUUCUGUUGAUGAUUUUCAUGCUUUCCUGCCCAAUGAGGUACUGAGGACUGUCAGAAUAACCAUUGCUCCAAAUACCACUGCUAUUAAAAAUUCACUGUGAUUUUAGAAAGAGGCAAACUUGUGCACAGGUUAAGACGGAGGGUUAACCUGUGCACCAGGUCUUAGCACUUAGUCCUGGGUGCUAAGCCCUGCUUUGCCCUGUUCUCUAUUGUGAUGUGAGCACACAACUUAUUAUCUAUGCUUAUUUUUUUCUCUUCUUCCAGAUGAGUGUAAUAUUUGUAACUACCUUAUAGGGUUGUGUACAUUAAUUAGUGCAUGUAAUUAUUUAAAGCAAUGCUUGUUAUGUAAUAUAAUGGUCAAUAAUUUGUUGAUACCCUUAUUAUGAUUUGGGGUUAGUAGAUGCAAACUAUGACAUUUAGAAUGGAUAAACAAUGAGGUCCUACUGUACAGCACAGGGAACUAUGUCCAGUCUCUUGGGAUAGACCAUGAUGGAAAACAGUAUAAGAAAUGUGUGUGUAUGUGUGUGUGUGCAUGUACACACACACACACACACACACACACACACACAUAUAUAUAUGAUUGGGUCACUUUGCUAUACAGUAGCAACUGAUACAAUAUUAUAAAUCAACUGUACUAAAAUAAUUAAUUCAUUAGAAUUAAAUACAAUUUAAAAAAAUUGUUCCUCAGUUGCACUGGCCAUAUUCCGCAUGCAUACAUAAGCUUAUGACUACUCUAUUGGACAGAGAGAAUAGAGAAUAUGGAUAGCAUCUCAAAAAAUUCUACUGGGUGGCUGAGCCAUAACCUAGAGAAAAGAAAAGGAGGACUAGAACUUCCUUUAGAGAGGAGAUAUGUUUUAUUCUCAGCAAUCUGCUGAUUGUGAAAAUAUUCUACAGACUCUCUGGGAACACUGAGCCCCAUUUCUUUUGUAGCGCCUAGUAAAUUGUGCUUUGCAUUGUGGACUGUGCGAUUAAUAUUAACAAAACAAAAAUAUUUUCCAGAAACAUUUCUCUCUCAGUUGGGAGAAAAGAUUCCCCAUUCCUUUUAUACACUAUUUAAAUUUCUCUGUAUUUAAGGAUUCUGUAGCUGCACAUAAUUCUUGAAAAGCAGGCAAGGUGGCUACUUUGUAGUCAUCAUGUGUCUCAUAGUAGAACUCUGCAGCUAGUGGAGAGAAUGAUUUCCUUAAUCACCACCCAAAGGGAAGCCAUGUGCAUGUUUACUUGUCAUGCCAAUGUUGCUCAGCAAUGGAAAAUACAAGUUAAAUAUUCAAAGAUAGAAACCCAGGCAGCAUGUUUCUACCACUUUUCACCUGUGUGUGGUCAAUUCUGGAAUUCUAACAUUGGCUGGAAAAUGCUAGGUCCAUUUCCUUGGAAUCAAAUUAACAUGUAUUAUUUGCCCUAUGACUGGUCAGUCACUGACAUCACUGCCUGGCAGGUACUUUGAGAAUGUUUGAGAAUGAGGGGGAAAUACAAGUACAAAGCAAAAGAUGUCUACAGUUCCAACAAGCCAAAGUUUUAUGUGAAUCUUAAACAGUUAGUGAUGUUAUGCAUUGUCUAGAGGGGUCUCUGCUAUCUGUUUAUAUUUUGGGAGAAUCUGUAAUGUAAAACUAGCAUGGGAAACUAAGAACUAGAGCCAGUAUAGUAUACUUGAUCCCAUACCAGCUCUAUCAAGCUGGUUGAGUACACUACAGCCCAGGAGGGACCUCUCCCAGCAUCUCUGAUGCUCAUUCCAAAACUCAAGCUGUAAAAGGGCUGCAUGGAAUUCCUGGCAGCCUGGUGGUUACAGAUUUGGCAUUGUCAUUGCCAUGGUGCAGGUUCAUUCCCUGGCCCAAGAAAUUCCACAUGCCGUGGGUGUGGACAUUUUUUAAAAAAACAAGGGUGCAUAAGGGAUUGAGAAAGCAAAAUUUUGAGCUUUCAUUCAAGUUAUACAUUUUUUAAGUAUGAAAUUGAUUAUAUUGAUUAUAUUGAUCACUACAUACUUUAAAUAAAAGUAUUAAUGAGUGCAGAAAGGAUUUUUAAAAAUCACACACUUAAGAAGUUCCCU